Molecule: ribosomal RNA, 463 nt
Filed under: uncultured bacterium
Lineage: Bacteria
Description: bacterial SSU rRNA
Rfam family: Bacterial small subunit ribosomal RNA
Source: RNAcentral
AUGAACGCUGGCGGCGUGCUUAACACAUGUAAGUCGAACGGACGCUUUGAGCAAUCGGAGCGUUAGUGGCAGACGGGUGCGUAACACGUGGGCGACCUACCUCAGAGUGGGGAACAACGGACCGAAAGGUUCGCUAAUACCGCAUACGCUCGAUGAUUCAAUUUGUCGAGUAAAGCCCCCUUCGGGAGGCGCUUUGAGAGGGGCCCGCGGCCCAUCAGGUAGUUGGUGAGGUAAUGGCCCACCAAGCCGAUGACGGGUAGCUGUUCUGAGAGGAAGAUCAGCCACACUGGCACUGAGAUACGGGCCAGACUCCUACGGGAGGCAGCAGUGAGGAAUAUUGCACAAUGGACGAAAGUCUGAUGCAGCGACGCCGCGUGGGCGACGAAGGCCUUCGGGUCGUAAAGCCCUUUUAGCAGGGACGAGUGAGGACGGUACCUGCUGAAUAAGUCUCGGCUAACUACGU